Molecule: ribosomal RNA, 500 nt
Filed under: uncultured bacterium
Lineage: Bacteria
Description: partial 16S ribosomal RNA
Rfam family: Bacterial small subunit ribosomal RNA
Source: RNAcentral
AUUGAACGCUGGCGGAAUGCUUUACACAUGCAAGUCGAACGGCAGCACGGACUUCGGUCUGGUGGCGAGUGGCGAACGGGUGAGUAAUGUAUCGGAACGUGCCCAGUCGGGGGGGAUAACGAAGUGAAAAUUACGCUAACACCGCAUACGAUCUAUGGAUGAAAGCGGGGGAUCGCAGGACCUGGCGCGAUUGGAGCGGCGGAUAUCAGAUUAGGUAGUUGGUGGGGUAAAGGCCCACCAAGCCAACGAUCUGUAGCUGGUCUGAGAGGACGACCAGCCACACUGGAACUGAGACACGGUCCAGACUCCUACGGGAGGCAGCAGUGGGGAAUUUUGGACAAUAGGCGAAAGCCUGAUCCAGCCAUUCCGCGUGCAGGAUGAAGGCCCUCGGGUUGUAAACUGCUUUUGUACAGAACGAAAAGGUUUCUACUAAUACUAGGAGCUCAUGACGGUACUGUAAGAAUAAGCACCGGCUAACUACGUGCCAGCCGCCGCCGUAA